CAGAGGUUUGAUCCUGACUUUUCCAUCUGCUGUAGACAUAUUUAUACAUGCAAGUAUC
Molecule: ribosomal RNA, 58 nt
Filed under: Paraplagusia japonica (black cow-tongue)
Lineage: Eukaryota; Metazoa; Chordata; Actinopteri; Pleuronectiformes; Cynoglossidae
Description: partial 12S ribosomal RNA
Source: RNAcentral